AAAAAGCCAAUGCAUGCUUUUACAGUAUGAAAAUUGGUGAUUUAUAAUAACUUAGCAAAUCGCAAAGUGAAAACAGGCGAUAAAUCAUUCAAGUUUCUGACCUAUCAGCUUUCGACGGUAUGGUAUUGGCUUACCGUGGCAGUGACGGUUAACGGGGGAUUAGGGUUCGAUUCCGGAGAGGGAGCCUGAGAAACGGCUACCACAUCUAAGGAAGGCAGCAGGCGCGCAAAUUACCCAAUUCUAACAGUUUGAGAGAGGUAGUAACAAGAAAUAACAAUACAAGGCAGUUAAAAUGCUUUGUAAUUGGAAUGAUAGAAAUUUAAACCCUUUUUAAAGUAUCAAUUGGAGGGCAAGUCUGGUGCCAGCAGCCGCGGUAAUUCCAGCUCCAAUAGCGUAUAUUAAAAUUGUUGCAGUUAAAAAGCUCGUAGUUGAAGUUCUGCUAAAAGUAACCGGUCUGCUUUGAAUAAAAGUGGUAUCUUGGUAUGUAUUUAGCAAUGAUGUCCUUUGAAGUGUUUUUUACUUUAUUGUA
Molecule: ribosomal RNA, 529 nt
Filed under: Hepatozoon canis
Lineage: Eukaryota; Apicomplexa; Hepatozoidae
Description: SSU rRNA
Rfam family: Eukaryotic small subunit ribosomal RNA
Source: RNAcentral